Molecule: ribosomal RNA, 434 nt
Filed under: uncultured bacterium
Lineage: Bacteria
Description: partial 16S ribosomal RNA
Rfam family: Bacterial small subunit ribosomal RNA
Source: RNAcentral
AGCGAACGCUGGCGGCAGGCCUAACACAUGCAAGUCGAACGAACCUUUCGGGGUUAGUGGCGGACGGGUGAGUAACACGUGGGAACGUGCCUUUAGGUUCGGAAUAACUCAGGGAAACUUGUGCUAAUACCGAAUGUGCCCUUCGGGGGAAAGAUUAAUCGCCUUUAGAGCGGCCCGCGUCUGAUUAGCUAGUUGGUUGAGGUAAUGGCUCACCAAGGCGACGAUCAGUAGCUGGUCUGAGAGGAUGAUCAGCCACAUCGGGACUGAGACACGGCCCAAACUCCUACGGGAGGCAGCAGUGGGGAAUCUUGCGCAAUGGGCGAAAGCCUGACGCAGCCAUGCCGCGUGAAUGAUGAAGGUCUUAGGAUUGUAAAAUUCUUUCACCGGGGACGAUAAUGACGGUACCCGGAGAAGAAGCCCCGGCUAACUUCGUG